CCCUGCCGCACAGCACCUUGCUCAGCGCCAACCUCAGGCCGCUCGCGACGCCCGAGCCAGAGCCGCCGCCGGCGGCGGCGGCGGCCCUCCUCUUCUUGAACCCUUGGUUGCAGAGCCUGAACAGCCGCCGGCACGCGGCGGCGGGGCAGCAGCCCAGUCCUCCUCCUGCUACUCCUGCUCCCACCGCGCCACGCCCGCGCCGGGGCCGCCUUGCCCUGGCGGUCUCGACGAGGAACGGUUCCUGCUGCUCCUGCAGCAGCUCCGAGAGCCUCCUCGCGGCGGCCAUGCGCGCGGGCACGCAGCAGCUCAGCGGGUGGUCAACAAC
This 325-nucleotide unclassified non-coding RNA is filed under the name Zea mays. Its description in RNAcentral is "misc RNA Zm00001eb217430". Lineage: Eukaryota; Viridiplantae; Streptophyta; Magnoliopsida; Poales; Poaceae. The record is from RNAcentral.